Molecule: unclassified non-coding RNA, 200 nt
Filed under: Crocicreas sp.
Lineage: Eukaryota; Fungi; Ascomycota; Leotiomycetes; Helotiales
Description: partial internal transcribed spacer 2
Source: RNAcentral
UUAAGUUCAGCGGGUAUCCCUACCUGAUCCGAGGUCAACCUUUGAAAAUUAGGGGUUGGUUGGCAAGCCUCCACCUGGAACUCCAUAGCGAGAAGAAUUACUACGCUUAGAGCCAGAUGGCACCGCCACUGAUUUUAAGGCCCGCCCAGAGGCGAAAGCCCAAGACCAGCAAGCUGGAUUGGUUUAAAUGACGCUCGAAC